Molecule: long non-coding RNA, 1899 nt
Organism: Dreissena polymorpha
Lineage: Eukaryota; Metazoa; Mollusca; Bivalvia; Myida; Dreissenidae
Exons: 2
Source: RefSeq, a predicted model, not a curated record
CAGUCAGUUUAUCUAUUCCGGCUCCUGUCCGAUUCCGACAUAUUUCUAGAUUGAAUGGUUGGUACGGAGAGAGUAUGUUUAGAAACUUAAUUUUGUCUGUUGUUUCAUGUAAAGUAAUUAUUUCUUUGUCUACUGAAUGGAUGUUUACAAAAUGUAUGAACUCUUGGUCUGCCAGCGCUUGGAUUUCCAAAACGAGGCUUCAGAUCGGUUGAAUUUCCGGCGCGUUUUUUCGGACGUCUGAAAAGUCGGUGGACAACAUUAAUCUAUUCAAUGAUCGAGGUUACCAAAAGAUACAAUUGCCAUGGGAAAGCAGAAGACAAACAGAUCAUCAGUACAUUGUAGUCCAGCUGUAGAGGCAGCAAAAUCUGUAAAGCGGGUAAUUAAUUAUCUUAAUCAAUUAAAUAGUAAUGCGGUAAAAAAUAUUUCAAAGUAUAAUGUGCAUCUUAUAAUGGUACACAUAACAAUUUUGACUUAAAUACCAUUUUGAUUGCUGUGUGUAUCUUAGUUGUGAACUUCCUAAAGCCAUUUUCAAAUUCAUUGAAUACAGAGCACAGUUUCAUACUUAACUUAGCUAUAAAUUAAAAUGUAUGUUAUACUCGCGCAGUACUGUAUAAAUAAACUAUGAAAUCAUAGGAAAUAUUUGCCUUUAAUAAAUGUAAACAUAUAAGGUUACAUACAGUAUGAACUGUAAUAAAAUGAAUACAGUAUGGUACAUGUGGUAUUUUCUCACAUGAUCAGUUGAUCACAUUGUGCAACAAGGUGAACACAAAAGGAUUUAGUUUUUUUUAUUUUACCCCAUGUACAAAGUAUGGGGCUGAAUUGGAUUCACAUCGGUGGGUUUGUCCAGUGUCUGUAAACAUAAGUUGAAAAUCUUUGUGGCCAUUCAACAGAGUCAAAUGAUAUAUUAUACUAAUAUGCAAUACAGUACUCCACAAUUGCCUGUAGGUUUGUUAAAUGAUUCACUUCAAAAUAUACUUGUGGCCAUUUGAAUAUUCCUGUCAUUUAUGACAGGUUGUAUAAUGUGAUCACUUGUAGCUGGUGUGUGGGUGGGCUUCAGAGUUUGAUUUGCUAAAUAACUUAAGUACCCUUGCAUAAUGAACACCAAACUUUGUGUAUAGUCAGCUGGUACUUACAUGAAAAUCCCUUUAGAAUUUAGUCAAGGUCAUUGUGGAUAUAAAUAUAAUUUGAGUGUCCGCUUAAUUACUCAAUAGUCUUAAGCUGUAAGAACUUGUUUCCCAAAUGUUGUAAAAUUAUUAAGUUUAAACUAAAUUGUUGCUGUAAAUUGUAACAGGUAUGAAUGAGUUAACACAUAACCAAACAAUAAAGAUAUUUAAGAUGUUUGUUGCAGAUGACAUAGGACAUCACUAGGAUAAAACUAUUAUUUACUCAUUUGAGCAAUUUCUCUUUAUCAUAAUGAUUUCUACCCUACCAAAUCAAUUUCUUCCUUCUCUAUCAAAGUUCCAUUUUUUUCUGCAACCUCAUUGAAUUUAGGACAUUCCAAAUGUAUUGUUUGGUAACAAGUUGACACCGAACUUCAUUUUUUCCCCCACAAAAUAUGUGAUAAUAUACUCAAUGAAUAUGCUAGUCCUUUAUGUCUUGUUUGUUAAUUAUAUAUUUUUAUAUAUUUUUAUUUUGUUAUUGAUUUUAAACCUUUCAAUGCUGCAUUUCAAGAUUUGGAAUUAAUGUGUCUAUGGACUGGAUUUAAGCACUUGCAUCCAAUUAGCUCAGCCUUCCAAAAUAGCCAAAAUGAUUUGAGACAGUUUGUAACAAAGAUUCAACUACACGAAUGUGUGUGUUAUCUUUGAAACACAUUGUUGAUAAGACACGCAAAAAAUAUCCAGCAUUGAAAGUGUUAUUUCAACAGGCAGUUGAUUUGCUAGAAAUAAAAUUGUAAAAUUA